GGAGGAAAAGAAACCAACAGGGAUUGCCCUAGUAACGGCGAGUGAAGCGGCAACAGCUCAAAUUUGAAAUCUGGCGCAAGCCCGAGUUGUAAUUUGUAGAGGAUGCUUCUGGGUAGCGACCGAUCUAAGUUCCUUGGAACAGGACGUCAUAGAGGGUGAGAAUCCCGUAUGUGACCGGCCCGCACCCUUUACGUAGCUCCUUCGACGAGUCGAGUUGUUUGGGAAUGCAGCUCUAAAUGGGAGGUAAAUUUCUUCUAAAGCUAAAUACCGGCCAGAGACCGAUAGCGCACAAGUAGAGUGAUCGAAAGAUGAAAAGUACUUUGGAAAGAGAGUUAAAAAGCACGUGAAAUUGUUGAAAGGGAAGCGCCUGCAACCAGACUUCGCGGCAGUGUUCCGCCGGUCUUCUGACCGGUUCAUUCUCUGUCGCGAGGCCAUCAUCGUCUGGGCCCGCCGGAUAAGACCUUAGGAAUGUAGCUCACCUUCGGGGGAGUGUUAUAGCCUAGGGUGAUGCGGCGAGGCUCGGGCGAGGUCCGCGCUUCGGCAAGGAUGAUGGCGUAAUGGUUGUCGGCGGCCCGUCUUGAAACACGGACCAAGGAGUCUAACAUCUAUGCGAGUGUUCGGGUGUCAAACCCCUACGCGUAAUGAAAGUGAACGGAGGUGGGAACCGCAAGGUGCACCAUCGACCGAUCCUGAUGUCCUCGGAUGGAUUUGAGUAAGAGCAUAGCUGUUGGGACCCGAAAGAUGGUGAACUAUGCCUGAAUAGGGUGAAGCCAGAGGAAACUCUGGUGGAGGCUCGCAGCGGUUCUGACGUGCAAAUCGAUCGUCAAAUUUGGGUAUAGGGGCGAAAGACUAAUC
This 855-nucleotide ribosomal RNA is filed under the name Septoria matricariae. Its description in RNAcentral is "partial large subunit ribosomal RNA". It matches the Rfam family "Eukaryotic large subunit ribosomal RNA", at positions 52 to 936 of the family's 3401-position model. The record is from RNAcentral. Lineage: Eukaryota; Fungi; Ascomycota; Dothideomycetes; Mycosphaerellales; Mycosphaerellaceae.